Molecule: long non-coding RNA, 1218 nt
Organism: Solanum pennellii
Lineage: Eukaryota; Viridiplantae; Streptophyta; Magnoliopsida; Solanales; Solanaceae
Exons: 2
Source: RefSeq, a predicted model, not a curated record
GGAUGUCAAUACUCAGCAAAACGAAAAUCCAAGCAGCAAGCAAACGACACCAAUACAACAGAGAUUCCAAACGGAGAUGGACGGAAGUGGACGAAAGCAGUAUGUUGCGUUUCCUUUGUCUUCUUCUUUACGUCCUUCUCCCAUAGUACUGUUCCAGCAGUACGAUUUCAGCAACCAGGCAUGCGUUUCCAUCCAUUUGGCUCGAGAUUAAGCCACGUAUCGCUAGAAGGACAUUAGAUCGAUUUGAGACGUCCGUCUCCCCUUUUGUCUUCCGUCAAUUUCAAAAAAAUUGCGUCUCCCCUAAAUGAUGAAGAAUUCGAAAUUCAAAUUUGUUCCUUUGUUCUUACCCGAUAUUACCCUCAUAUUUUACCCAAAAUCUACCCUAGAUUCCCCUUAUAAAUUCCCCCUCUUCUUCAUCUGUCUCAGGUUGGGGAAAAGUAGAGUAUACCCAUUAUUGAGUUUGAAAAAGAUUGGGAAAAAGUUGAAAAACAAAACGGUCGGAGAAUAGUUAGAAAAGCCGGAGAUAAUUCAGGGAGGGGGUAAAUUUCAUCUUUUAGGUUCCGUUUCUUUAAUAUUACAUAUAGGAAUCGAUUUGUUAUUUUUUUUAAAAAAAAGGGGCACUCAUUAGAGUAGAAGCAAAACAGAGAGAUAUAGGCCCUCAAGAAAAAUUUUGAAUUCUAUAGUAAUUGACUUAAGAGCUUCGAAUCUGGAGCUCUCAUCCUAAGAUCUCUGUUCUUUUCGACGGAAACUUCCAUUGGAGUUCCUUUCGCGUGGUGGUGGAAAGAUUUUCAACUCGUGUCUCAGUUCUGUUGCUCCAGAAGAGGUAAACUCUCCUGCGAGUAUUAGGAGCUACUGGUCACUCAAAAUAAGCCAUAAAGGCUCAAUUUCCCCUCUUAUCGAGUCAGCCCCUUUUCUGAGUUGAAGAAUCGAAGAGCAGGUUCUCAAAAUUCGAUGUACAGGUGUUCAAUAGUCCAAGAAGCUCAAUUAUCUCUUCAGCGCAUCAUAUUAAUGUAUCUCGCGCAUCAGAUUAGUGUAUCAUGUAUAAAAUGUACAUCAUAUUAGUGUAUCAUGUAUAAAAUAUAAUGUAUCUUACUUAACGAUUAAUGUAUCAACACUUAUAUUAUUGUAUCCAUUUGAGGGAUUUCUGUAAUUAUAAACGUAUAAGGAACAAAUGGUAAUUUUGUCUUAAAUGUGAUUUUUGUCCUAUGCCCUUUUGUA